This 433-nucleotide ribosomal RNA is filed under the name uncultured bacterium. RNAcentral's name for it is "partial 16S ribosomal RNA". It matches the Rfam family "Bacterial small subunit ribosomal RNA", at positions 29 to 507 of the family's 1533-position model. The record is from RNAcentral.
AACGAACGCUGGCGGCAUGCCUAACACAUGCAAGUCGAACGAGACCUUCGGGUCUAGUGGCGAACGGGUGCGUAACGCGUGGGAACCUGCCCUUAGGUUCGGAAUAACUCCCCGAAAGGGGUGCUAAUACCGGAUAAUGUCUUCGGACCAAAGAUUUAUCGCCUUUGGAUGGGCCCGCGUUGGAUUAGCUAGUUGGUAGGGUAAAAGCCUACCAAGGCGACGAUCCAUAGCUGGUCUGAGAGGAUGAUCAGCCACACUGGGACUGAGACACGGCCCAGACUCCUACGGGAGGCAGCAGUGGGGAAAAUUGGACAAGGGGCGAAAGCCUGAUCCAGCAAUGCCGCGUGAGUGAUGAAGGCCUUAUGGUUGUAAAGCUCUUUUACCCGGGAUGAUAAUGACAGUACCGGGAGAAUAAGCUCCGGCUAACUCCGUG